GUUAAUAAAAGUUGAAAAGCUUAUAUAGGGCCAUAAUAUGGAUGGCUGUCUCUACCCGAACCCGUAAAGUUUGGACUAUAAGCAAAAUUAGCCGUCAU
RNAcentral lists this non-coding RNA (98 nucleotides) under Furfurilactobacillus siliginis. RNAcentral describes it as "Lactobacillus siliginis Guanine sequence". It matches the Rfam family "Purine riboswitch aptamer". Rfam says of the family: Riboswitches are metabolite binding domains within certain messenger RNAs that serve as precision sensors for their corresponding targets. The record is from Rfam by way of RNAcentral. Lineage: Bacteria; Bacillati; Bacillota; Bacilli; Lactobacillales; Lactobacillaceae.